Molecule: ribosomal RNA, 253 nt
Filed under: uncultured bacterium
Lineage: Bacteria
Description: partial 16S ribosomal RNA
Rfam family: Bacterial small subunit ribosomal RNA
Source: RNAcentral
UACGUAGGUGGCAAGCGUUAUCCGGAUUUAUUGGGUGUAAAGGGCGUGUAGGCGGGAGCGCAAGUCAGAUGUGAAAACUCAGGGCUCAACCCUGAGCCUGCAUUUGAAACUGUGUUUCUUGAGUGCUGGAGAGGCAAUCGGAAUUCCGUGUGUAGCGGUGAAGUGCGUAGAUAUACGGAGGAACACCAGUGGCGAAGGCGGAUUGCUGGACAGUAACUGACGCUGAGGCGCGAAAGCGUGGGGAGCAAACAGG